Astyanax mexicanus (Mexican tetra) is the source of this 561-nucleotide long non-coding RNA. RefSeq lists it as uncharacterized. Lineage: Eukaryota; Metazoa; Chordata; Actinopteri; Characiformes; Acestrorhamphidae. The record is from RefSeq and is a predicted model, not a curated record. The transcript is spliced from 4 exons.
UCUCCAUUUUGUCACUUCAAACUACUCCACAGUAAACAGCAACAGGGUCUUUAAAAAGUUCUAAAAAUCCGAAUAUACAGGAAUGAACUGCAUGCUGUUUCUAGAGCUGUUAGCUCCUCCUAUCUGACGAGACGACGUCGCUGCCCGGCUUCAGCUCUGCCUGUGGGCGGACCCGAGCAGAGUUGCUGCAGAGAAUGAGGAAGAGGUUGAGGAAGAGUUUCAUCAUGUGCAGAAUCAUAAACAACUCAGAGACCUGCUGUAUUUCAACAAGUGAUGUCACAGAUCAGAGAACUGAGUGCUGGGUGUGAGGAGGAAGCGUCUGUGGUCUGUAAUCUGAACCGGGCCGUAUGGGAGUUUCUCGGACGGGCUGGAGCGGACAUCCUGGCACACCGAGUUCACCAAGCGUAAGAACAAAAACCCUGUAUCUCCAUCAGCCAGCAGCACCCUCACAGCCAGCUCUGCGGUGGGGAAACAGCGGACUGACCAGUUUACCCACUGCUUCCUCUUUUAGCCAGAACACCAAACACACACGUCUGUUUUUAUAGCAAUUAUAACAUAACA